AUAUUCACCUGACGGGGGAGGUACCAUGAUCAUGAAGGUGGUUUUCCCAGGGUGAGGCUUUUCCAUUGCACUCCAGAUGUUCUGACCCCUGAGAUCCCCAAAUGUGGGAAACCUGACGUCAUAAUUUGUGGUAGUGGGGGAAUGCAUUUGCACUCUCCCC
Molecule: small nuclear RNA, 160 nt
Filed under: Dasypus novemcinctus (nine-banded armadillo)
Lineage: Eukaryota; Metazoa; Chordata; Mammalia; Cingulata; Dasypodidae
Description: U1 spliceosomal RNA (ENSDNOG00000027213.1)
Rfam family: U1 spliceosomal RNA
About the family: U1 is a small nuclear RNA (snRNA) component of the spliceosome (involved in pre-mRNA splicing). Its 5' end forms complementary base pairs with the 5' splice junction, thus defining the 5' donor site of an intron.
Source: RNAcentral